This 989-nucleotide small RNA is filed under the name Pan troglodytes (chimpanzee). RNAcentral describes it as "retained intron". Lineage: Eukaryota; Metazoa; Chordata; Mammalia; Primates; Hominidae. The record is from RNAcentral.
AAACCAAGCCGGGCGCCUCUUGCAAUGGAGACGGUCAUUUCUUCAGAUAGCUCCCCAGCUCUGGAAAAUGAGCAUCCUCAAGAGACCCCAGAAUCCAACAAUAGCGUGUAUACUUCCUUCAUGAAGUCUCAUCGCUGCUAUGACCUGAUUCCCACAAGCUCCAAAUUGGUUGUAUUUGAUACGUCCCUGCAGGUGAAGAAAGCUUUUUUUGCUUUGGUGACUAACGGUGUACGAGCUGCCCCUUUAUGGGAUAGUAAGAAGCAAAGUUUUGUGGGCAUGCUGACCAUCACUGAUUUCAUCAAUAUCCUGCACCGCUACUAUAAAUCAGCCUUGGUACAGAUCUAUGAGCUAGAAGAACACAAGAUAGAAACUUGGAGAGAGGUGUAUCUCCAGGACUCCUUUAAACCGCUUGUCUGCAUUUCUCCUAAUGCCAGGUGAGUUCCAGUUACCCAUCUGUCCAAAAAGUGGAAGAGAUUUUGCCAUCAGCCUAGCUAAUGCCCUAGACACCCAGGGAAAGGGGAAGAAGAGAGAAAAGACACACACACACACACACACACACACACACACACACACACAGUCUCUCUCUCUCUCUCUCACUCUCUCUCUCUCUCUCUCUCUUUAAGUCUGGCCUGUACACUGCCCCCUUCCCUAACCAUCAGUUUUCCCUGUUUAGCAAUACACUGUAUGGACCUGUUUAAUCACCCUCAGCCCCAGCACUGUGGAACUUAUUAUCUCCCACCCUCUCACAGCUUGUUUGAUGCUGUCUCUUCAUUAAUUCGGAACAAGAUCCACAGGCUGCCAGUUAUUGACCCAGAAUCAGGCAAUACUUUGUACAUCCUCACCCACAAGCGCAUUCUGAAGUUCCUCAAAUUGUUUAUCACUGAGUUCCCCAAGCCAGAGUUCAUGUCCAAGUCUCUGGAAGAGCUACAGAUUGGCACCUAUGCCAAUAUUGCUAUGGUUCGCACUACCACCCCCGUCUAUGUGGCUCU